RNAcentral lists this ribosomal RNA (497 nucleotides) under uncultured bacterium. RNAcentral's name for it is "partial 16S ribosomal RNA". It matches the Rfam family "Bacterial small subunit ribosomal RNA", at positions 28 to 507 of the family's 1533-position model. The record is from RNAcentral.
GAUGAACGCUGGCGGCGUGCCUAAUACAUGCAAGUCGAGCGAACAGACGAGGAGCUUGCUCCUCUGACGUUAGCGGCGGACGGGUGAGUAAAACGUGGAUAACCUACCUAUAAGACUGGGAUAACUUCGGGAAACCGGAGCUAAUACCGGAUAAUAUAUUGAACCGCAUGUUUCAAUAGUGAAAGACGGUUUUGCUGUCACUUAUAGAUGGAUCCGCGCCGCAUUAGCUAGUUGGUAAGGUAACGGCUUACCAAGGCAACGAUGCGUAGCCGACCUGAGAGGGUGAUCGGCCACACUGGAACUGAGACACGGUCCAGACUCCUACGGGAGGCAGCAGUAGGGAAUCUUCCGCAAUGGGCGAAAGCUUGACGGAGCAACGCCGCGUGAGUGAUGAAGGUCUUCGGAUCGUAAAACUCUGUUAUUAGGGAAGAACAAAUGUGUAAGUAACUAUGCACGUCUUGACGGUACCUAAUCAGAAAGCCACGGCUAACUACGUG